Molecule: non-coding RNA, 31 nt
Filed under: Mus musculus (house mouse)
Lineage: Eukaryota; Metazoa; Chordata; Mammalia; Rodentia; Muridae
Source: RNAcentral
UGGUGACAAUGGACCAAGUAAAUAUAGCUGC